UACGUAGGGUGCAAGCGUUGUCCGGAAUUAUUGGGCGUAAAGAGCUUGUAGGCGGUUUGUCGAGUCUGCUGUGAAAUUUCGGGGCUCAACCCCGAACUUGCAGUGGGUACGGGCAGACUAGAGUGUGGUAGGGGAGACUGGAAUUCCUGGUGUAGCGGUGAAAUGCGCAGAUAUCAGGAGGAACACCGAUGGCGAAGGCAGGUCUCUGGGCCAUAACUGACGCUGAGAAGCGAAAGCAUGGGGAGCGAACAGG
RNAcentral lists this ribosomal RNA (253 nucleotides) under uncultured bacterium. Its description in RNAcentral is "partial 16S ribosomal RNA". It matches the Rfam family "Bacterial small subunit ribosomal RNA", at positions 524 to 776 of the family's 1533-position model. The record is from RNAcentral.